GACGAACGCUGGCGGCGUGCCUAAUACAUGCAAGUAGAACGCUGAAGGAGGAGCUUGCUUCUGUGGAUGAGUUGCGAACGGGUGAGUAACGCGUAGGUAACCUGCCUGGUAGCGGGGGAUAACUAUUGGAAACGAUAGCUAAUACCGCAUAAUAUUGACUAUUGCAUGAUAGUCAGUUGAAAGGUGCAACUGCACCACUACCAGAUGGACCUGCGUUGUAUUAGCUAGUUGGUGGGGUAACGGCUCACCAAGGCGACGAUACAUAGCCGACCUGAGAGUGUGAUCGGCCACACUGGGACUGAGACACGGCCCAGACUCCUACGGGAGGCAGCAGUAGGGAAUCUUCGGCAAUGGACGGAAGUCUGACCGAGCAACGCCGCGUGAGUGAAGAAGGUUUUCGGAUCGUAAAGCUCUGUUGUAAGAGAAGAACGAGUGUGAGAGUGGAAAGCUCACACUGUGACGGUAUCUUACCAGAAAGGGACGGCUAACUACGUG
This 495-nucleotide ribosomal RNA is filed under the name uncultured bacterium. Its description in RNAcentral is "partial 16S ribosomal RNA". It matches the Rfam family "Bacterial small subunit ribosomal RNA", at positions 28 to 507 of the family's 1533-position model. The record is from RNAcentral.